Molecule: ribosomal RNA, 481 nt
Filed under: uncultured bacterium
Lineage: Bacteria
Description: partial 16S ribosomal RNA
Rfam family: Bacterial small subunit ribosomal RNA
Source: RNAcentral
GAUGAACGCUGGCGGCGUGCUUAACACAUGCAAGUCGAACGAAGCACUUUAUUUGAUUUCCUUCGGGACUGAUUAUUUUGUGACUGAGUGACGGACGGGUGAGUAACGCGUGGGUAACCUGCCUUGUACAGGGGGAUAACAGAUGGAAACGGCUGCUAAUACCGCAUAAGCGCACGGAGUCGCAUGAUGCAGUGUGAAAAACUCCGGUGGUAUAAGAUGGACCCGCGUUGGAUUAGCUAGUUGGUGAGGUAACGGCCCACCAAGGCGACGAUGCAUAGCCGAGCUGAGAGGGUGAGCGGCCACAUUUAGACUAGGACGCAGCACAGACUCCUACGGAAGGCGGCAAAGGGUAAUAGAGCAAAGUGGGGUGAGGGAUGAAGGUGUGACGCCGCGUAAACGAUGAAGUUUGUCAGUAUGUAAUGCGCUAUCAGCAGGGAAGAUAAUGACGGUACCUGACGAGAAAGCACCGGCUAAAUACGUG